RNAcentral lists this ribosomal RNA (3348 nucleotides) under bacterium. Its description in RNAcentral is "23S ribosomal RNA". It matches the Rfam family "Bacterial large subunit ribosomal RNA". The record is from RNAcentral.
CCUAAUGGGAAAUUUAAGGGCGUAUGGUGGAUGCCUUGGCUCCAAAAGGCGAUGAAGGACGCGGCUUGACUGCGAUAUGCUUCGGGGAGGUGUCUAGCAACCUUCGAUCCGAAGAUCUCCGAAUGGGGAAACCCUUCUGCCCAUGAGGCAGAAACUUUACCACUUUAGGUAAGGUGCGUACCCAGGGAAGCAAAACAUUCUAGUACCUGGAGGAAAAGAAACCAAUAUCCGCGCAAGCGGGUUGCAUUUCCUUAGUAGCGGCGAGCGAAAAGGGAAGAGCCUAAACCGAGCUUCACUCUCACUGCAUUUUUUGUGCAGUGUGAGUGACGCUCGGGGUUGUAAGAUGACGUAUCUACGUUUACCGUAGGAAGAGUCAAAAAAUAUUCUGUUAGCCGAAUCCGCUGGAAAGCGGAACCCUAGAGGGUAAUGGUCCCGUAGGCGAAAACAGUGUAUCUCUUUAAUGUCAUUCUUGAGUACCUCAAGACACGAGUAGCUUUGAGGGAAUCCGCCGGAACUAACCGGUAAGGCUAAAUACUUUUGGAGACCGAUAGUGAACUAGUACCGUGAGGGAAAGGUGAAAAUUAGCCCGGUAAGGGCAGUGAAAUAGAACUGAAACCAUAUGCUUACAAGGAGUUACGGCGGUCUUGUACCGUUGUAGCGUGCCUAUUGAAGAAUGAGCCAACGAGUUUGUGUAUGCUGCAUGGCUAAGGGGUAACCCCCGGAGCCGUAGGGAAACCGAGUGUGAAUAGCGCGAUUUAGUAGCAUAUACAAGACCCGAAGCCAGGUGAGCUUGUCAUGAGCAGGGUGAAUGUCUCCGAAAGGAGACAAGAGGCCCGAACCGGUAAGUCGUUCAACACUUUCGGAUGACUUGUGAUAAGCGGCGAAAAACCAAUCGAACCUGGUAAUAGCUGGUUCUCUCCGAAAUAGUUAUUGGACUAGCGUCGAGUGUACCUUUAAGGGGUAGAGCGCUGGAAGGUUUCGACAGGGAGCAAUCUCGCGAAACCUAUCAAACUUCGAAUACUUAAAGUAAAUUACUCGGCAGUAAGACGACGGGGGCUAAGCUUCGUUCGUCAAAAGGGAAACAGCCCAGAUCUUCAGUUAAGGUCCCAAAAUCUACGCUCAGUGCAUCUCAAGGCGGUGAAAUUUCUCUGACAAUGAGGAGGUUGGCUUAGAAGCAGCCACCCUUUAAAGAUAGCGUAACAGCUCACUCAUCAAGAGAUUUCGCACCGAAAAUAAUCGGGGCUUAAGCGUAGUACCGAAACUAAGGAUGUAUUUUACCUUCGGGUAAGAUACGUGGUAGGAGAGUUUUCGCAUCUGCUGUGAAGGCAAAGAGGUGACUCAUGCUGGAGCGUUGCGAAGUAAGAAUGUUGGCACAAGUAACCGCAAUGCAGGUUAGACCCCUGCACGCCGUAAGACUAAGGUUUCCUUGGCGAUGUCAAUCAGCCAAGGGUUAGUCGGUCCUAAGGCAAUGGCGAAAGCCGCAGCCGAUGGGAACAUGGUUAAUAUUCCAUGACUUUUUUGCGUUGCGAUGGAGGGACGAAGUUGAGUAUACGAGGCGCACAAUUGGAUGUGACGUCGUCAUCGUCAGGAAGCUCUUUUGGCAAAUCCGGAGAGCGGGGCGUAAGCCCGAUUCCAAGCGAUGGGGAAAUUCUUUAAGCAAUUAAGGGAGAUCUCGUAAAGCCAGUUUCCAAGAAAAGCUUCUAAGCAUAAACGCAAAGGAUCCGUACCGCACAACCGACACAGGUAGUCGGGUCGAGUAGACCAAGGCGAACGAGUGAAAAAUCCCCAAGGAACUAGGCAAAAAAGCAGUCGUAACCUCGGGAUAAGACUUGCCUUUCGCAAGAAAGGCCGCAGCUAAAGUAUCUCUGGGAACUGUUUACCAAAAACACAGCUCCCUGCGAACUCGCAAGAGGAUGUAUAGGGGGUGACACUUGACCAAUGCCAGAAGGUCAACCAUUGGCGUUCCAGUCCGCAAGGAUUGGGGUGACCGAUGUAAGCCCUGGUGAAUGUCGGCCGUAACUAUAACGGUCCUAAGGUAGCGAAGUUCCUUGUCAGGUAAGUUCUGACGCGCACGAAUAGUGCAAUCACUGGAGAACUGUCUCGGGGAUCCACUCGGUGAAAAUACAAUACCGGUGAAGAUGCCGGUUACCUGCAGUUAGACGAAAAGACCCCAUGGAGCUUUACUGCAUCUUGAUAUUGAGAAUACGUCUUGCCUGCGUAGCAUAGGUGGGAGAGAUUGAAGCAAUGCUUUCGGGUGUUGCAGACUCGUCAGUGAAAUACCACUCUGAUGAGAUGUAUUUUCUAACCUCCGCGGCAAAAACGCGAAGGAACAGUAUCUAGUGGGCAGUUUUGGUGGGGCGCUAUCCUCCCAAAGAGUAACGGAGGAGCCUACAAAGGUUCUCUAGGCGCGAAUGGAAACCGUGCCGAUAGUGUAAUGGCAUAAGAGAGCUUAACUGCGAGGCGUACAUGCCGAGCAGACGCGAAAGCGGAGCAUAGUGAACCGAUGGAUCGCGUUAGACGCGGCCAGAGAUUAACGGAUAAAAGCUACCCUGGGGAUAACAGGCUAGUUCCGCCUAAGAGUCCACAUCGACGGCGGAGUUCGGCACCUUAACACAUUGGGGUGCUAUGUCAGUAAUGACAUAUAGCCAAUCUUAUUAUUCGAGUGUAGGAGCUUGGUGAAUAAGAUACAAUCGUGGCUUAUAACGGUGAACUCCUUUUAAAUAUAAAAAUAUUUUUAAGGACAACACCGUGGGAAGUCUUCUUUGACUUGGCUUGGAUUUUUUCAAGAUAUGUUUAAAGAAUGACCCCGUAGAGACUUGUCCCGAGUUAAACGAAGGACAGAGUUUUCGCUUUGGAAGCGAAAGCUAACACGCCACCGCCUUUUACACAGUUUAGGACUUGUCCUGAGCUUGUCGAAGGAUGAAGAUAUAGUCCAUACCGCCAGUAAUGGCGGAGAAGUAUACGAUGUCGGCUCACCUUAUCCUGGGGCUGGAGAAGGUCCCAAGGGUUUGGCUGUUCGCCAAUUAAAAAGGUACGUGAGCUGGGUUCAAACCGUCGCGAGACAGGUUGGUCUCCUAUCUACUGCAGGCGUUGAUUCUUGAGAAGAUUUGUUCCUAGUACGAGAGGACCGGAAUGAACUGACCUCUGGUGUAUCUGCUGUUCUGCCAAGGGCAACGCAGAGUAGCUAAGUCGGGUAUGGAUAACCUCUGAAAGCAUCUAAGAGGGAAGCCAACUUCAAGAUAAGGAAUCGUUAUAGACCCGUGAGAGAUGAUCACGUUGAUAGGCUCUAGGUGUACGUCCCGUAAGGGGCUUAGCCAAGGAGUACUAAUGAGUCAAUCCUAUUAGGGA